CGUACAGGUGGCCUAGUGGUUAGAGCGUCUGCACUGGAUGCGAGAGAUCGUGGGUUCGAUCCCCCGCCGCAUGA
Molecule: non-coding RNA, 74 nt
Organism: Potamilus streckersoni
Lineage: Eukaryota; Metazoa; Mollusca; Bivalvia; Unionida; Unionidae
Source: the annotation of a GenBank genome assembly